GGUACCUGCGGAGGGAUCAUUG
This 22-nucleotide ribosomal RNA is filed under the name Cytospora chrysosperma. Its description in RNAcentral is "Valsa sordida partial 18S ribosomal RNA". The record is from RNAcentral. Lineage: Eukaryota; Fungi; Ascomycota; Sordariomycetes; Diaporthales; Cytosporaceae.